AUACUUACCUGGCAGGGGAGAUACCACGAUCACGAAGGUGGUUUUCCCAGGGCGAGGCUUAUCCAUUGCACUCCGGAUGUGCUGACCCCUGCGAUUUCCCCAAAUGUGGGAAACUCGACUGCAUAAUUUGUGGUAGUGGGGGACUGCGUUCGCGCUUUCCCCUA
Molecule: small nuclear RNA, 164 nt
Organism: Rhinopithecus bieti (black snub-nosed monkey)
Lineage: Eukaryota; Metazoa; Chordata; Mammalia; Primates; Cercopithecidae
Gene: U1
Rfam family: U1 spliceosomal RNA
About the family: U1 is a small nuclear RNA (snRNA) component of the spliceosome (involved in pre-mRNA splicing). Its 5' end forms complementary base pairs with the 5' splice junction, thus defining the 5' donor site of an intron.
Source: Ensembl